Molecule: ribosomal RNA, 373 nt
Filed under: uncultured organism
Description: partial 16S ribosomal RNA
Rfam family: Bacterial small subunit ribosomal RNA
Source: RNAcentral
GUAGGUGGCAAGCGUUGUCCGGAAUUAUUGGGCGUAAAGCGCGCGCAGGCGGUUCUUUAAGUCUGGUGUGAAAGCCCACGGCUCAACCGUGGAGGGUCAUUGGAAACUGGAGAACUUGAGUACAGAAGAGGAAAGCGGAAUUCCACGUGUAGCGGUGAAAUGCGUAGAGAUGUGGAGGAACACCAGUGGCGAAGGCGGCUUUCUGGUCUGUAACUGACGCUGAGGCGCGAAAGCGUGGGGAGCAAACAGGGAUUAGAUACCCUGGUAGUCCACGCCGUAAACGAUGAGUGCUAAGUGUUAGGGGGUUUCCGCCCCCUUAGUGCUGCAGCUAACGCAUUAAGCACUCCGCCUGGGGAGUACGGCCGCAAGGCUG